CAGGGUAGUCACGAGGUCUGGGUCACUGGCACUUCCUAGUCGUCCAUUAUGUUAUUUCAAAGUUGAGUGACGUCCUGCAACCAUAACAAACAGGACGUGUACGGAAAGAGAAAAGGCAAGAGGCUUGACACCCAGAGACCAAAGGACUCUUGUUCAAGAAGGUGACCCUUAAGCCAUUAGGUCUCAGCUGGCAACAAUCUGAAGACAUUGUGCAUUGUCUGGAGAAGUUUUGACCAUCUCCACUAGGGAGUAGGGUGCUCCCGGUCCCUGGUGAGCCAAGGGAAGGAUGCUGUGAACAGCUUCAGGCGUGAAGCAUUUUCCAGCUCAAAACAGUCAUCAUGCCAAGGUUGAGAAAGCCUGAUUUUUGGAGAAGAUAAGAAGGUGAGGAAAGCAGCACUCCAAGGGAUGAGGAAACAGUGGAGGUGAAAGGAACAGCACACUCUGCUUAGUGCCCUGGGGCCCCAAGACAAUGAGGCUGCCCUUGGCAACGGCAAACCCAAAUCAAAGACGGGAAGGAAAUGCAAGCUAAGGGACACUUGUUGACAAUGGACACUGUUGGUGGUCUACAAAGGACCUGCUAAAGAGGCGACCAUGGGAUUUUAAAGAUCAAGAGGGAGCGUGGGGGAAGGGUGGACUGAACCAAAAGCAAUGGAGGUAGAAAGCAAAAGGUGAACCCAGAUGCGUUCUGAGGGUGAUGGUUACAACACAGGAAUAAACAAGCAACAGGGACUGAAGGAUUGUGGAGGAGCUUGUCAAAGUUCAUCAUGACCUGGUAUGCUUGUUCCAUUCCCAGAUAAGUCAGGACCUUUGAACACUUGGAAGCCAUGGAAGUGCUGACCCGAAACGCAACGCCCCUGGCCCGGCGGGUGCCAAGCACCAGCUCUCUCCACACCACCAGCACCACACAGCAAAGUUCCUCUUUCCUUUUGCAGGCCUUGAACACUGAAGAAAUAAUGUUGCAAUGAGGAAAUCAAGACUCUAAUCCUGCUUUUCUCUAGUAGCCAUGGCUCCAGGCCAACAGCAGUUCAUAGAAGGGGGCAUUCUCACUGUGUCUCCAGAAGGAAGAUAAAACCUGGCAUGAAAUGGUUAGAGAUAAGACAUUUCAAAAUCUGGGAGCACAGCUGAAUACCAAAACUGUAUCAGAUCAUAAGCCAGAUGUUCCCAGAACUUUUCAUCCAUUUUUUCCUGCUUGAAGGAGAAGUUUUUGUUCAUAAAGAAAACAGUGAACCAAAAUUGCUAUCAGAAAGCAUCGAUUCAUGGUUCAUGGUUAUUUAAAAUGAGCCCAUUUGAAAAUAAUCAAAGAUAUGCAUGAUGAUUUAUAACAAGUGUUGUUCAUUUCAGUGGUAUUUAUCAUAUGUAUAAUGUAGAAACAUUCCCAGUGGAUUACCAUAAAGGAUUCGUUAUAUAAACAACAGUACUUUCAUUUGAUGGACUGCUAUGUGGCCAUUAAAAAUCACAUUGUUGAAGAA
Peromyscus eremicus (cactus mouse) is the source of this 1469-nucleotide long non-coding RNA. RefSeq lists it as uncharacterized. The record is from RefSeq and is a predicted model, not a curated record. Lineage: Eukaryota; Metazoa; Chordata; Mammalia; Rodentia; Cricetidae. The transcript has 3 exons.